Molecule: ribosomal RNA, 890 nt
Filed under: Porphyromonas gingivalis
Lineage: Bacteria; Pseudomonadati; Bacteroidota; Bacteroidia; Bacteroidales; Porphyromonadaceae
Description: bacterial SSU rRNA
Rfam family: Bacterial small subunit ribosomal RNA
Source: RNAcentral
CGGCGCACGGGUGCGUAACGCGUAUGCAACUUGCCUUACAGAGGGGGAUAACCCGUUGAAAGACGGACUAAAACCGCAUACACUUGUAUUAUUGCAUGAUAUUACAAGGAAAUAUUUAUAGCUGUAAGAUAGGCAUGCGUCCCAUUAGCUAGUUGGUGAGGUAACGGCUCACCAAGGCGACGAUGGGUAGGGGAACUGAGAGGUUUAUCCCCCACACUGGUACUGAGACACGGACCAGACUCCUACGGGAGGCAGCAGUAGGGAAUCUUCCGCAAUGGACGAAAGUCUGACGGAGCCAAGUCGCGUGAAGGAAGACUGUCCUAAGGAUUGUAAACUUCUUUUAUACGGGAAUAACGGGCGAUACGAGUAUUGCAUUGAAUGUACCGUAAGAAUAAGCAUCGGCUAACUCCGUGCCAGCAGCCGCGGUAAUACGGAGGAUGCGAGCGUUAUCCGGAUUUAUUGGGUUUAAAGGGUGCGUAGGUUGUUCGGUAAGUCAGCGGUGAAACCUGAGCGCUCAACGUUCAGCCUGCCGUUGAAACUGCCGGGCUUGAGUUCAGCGGCGGCAGGCGGAAUUCGUGGUGUAGCGGUGAAAUGCAUAGAUAUCACGAGGAACUCCGAUUGCGAAGGCAGCUUGCCAUACUGCGACUGACACUGAGGCGCGAAAGCGUGGGGAGCGAACAGGAUUAGAUACCCUGGUAGUCCACGCCGUAAACGAUGAUUACUAGGAGUUUGCGAUAUACCGUCAAGCUUCCACAGCGAAAGCGUUAAGUAAUCCACCUGGGGAGUACGCCGGCAACGGUGAAACUCAAAGGAAUUGACGGGGGCCCGCACAAGCGGAGGAACAUGUGGUUUAAUUCGAUGAUACGCGAGGAACCUUACCCGGGAUUGAA